Molecule: long non-coding RNA, 298 nt
Organism: Tachyglossus aculeatus (Australian echidna)
Lineage: Eukaryota; Metazoa; Chordata; Mammalia; Monotremata; Tachyglossidae
Exons: 3
Source: RefSeq, a predicted model, not a curated record
CCUAUGUGAAUGGACUGAAGACCACAGUGUUGAGUUGAUGUCUGGGAAUUGGCUCCCUUGAGUAAAGGACUCACGGCUCCACUCUUCUGGCUCAGGUAAAGGUCAUCUAGAAACCAUUUGCAGAGGAAAUGCUCCAAAGGCAGCAGCGCCGAAGUUCUUUGCUAAGUGGCAGGCUGUUCCCAAGGAUGCACACGUCUGACUCGGCUGCUGCUUGUUUUUGUUCAACCUGACGGACUCUUUCUUCACGCCUUCCAUCUCCGGGAACUUUACUGUAGGUGCCUGGGAACACAAGCAAAAA